GAUGAAGAACGUAGCGAAAUGCGAUAAGUAGUGUGAAUUGCAGAAUUCAGUGAAUCAUCGAAUCUUUGAACGCACAUUGCGCCCCUUGGUAUUCCAUGGGGCAUGCCUGUUCGAGCGUCAUUUGUACCCUCAAGCUUUGCUUGGUGUUGGGCGUCUUGUCGUAUUACGACUCGCCUUAAAUACAUUGGCAGCCGGCACUUUGGCCUAGGAGCGCAGCACAUUUUGCGAUCGUAGCCCGUUGUACUGGCGUCCAUCAAGUACAUUUACCACGUUUGACCUCGGAUCAGGUAGGGAUACCCGCUGAACUUAAGCAUAUCAAUAAGCGGAGGA
Molecule: unclassified non-coding RNA, 330 nt
Filed under: soil metagenome
Description: partial contains 5.8S ribosomal RNA, internal transcribed spacer 2, and large subunit ribosomal RNA
Rfam family: 5.8S ribosomal RNA (bases 1-120)
Source: RNAcentral